AUACUGAGGGUGCAAGCGUUAAUCGGAUUUACUGGGCGUAAAGAGAUCGUAGGUGGUUUAUCAAGUCGGAUGUGAAAUCCCGGGGCUCAACCCCGGAACUGCAUUCGAUACUGGUAGACUUGAGUUCGGGAGGGGGAUGCGGAAUUCCGCGUGUAGCAGUGAAAUGCGUAGAUAUGCGGAGGAACACCAGAGGCGAAGGCGGCAUCCUGGACCGAUACUGACACUGAGGAUCGAAAGCGUGGGUAGCAAACAGGAUUAGAAACCCCGGUAGUCC
Molecule: ribosomal RNA, 274 nt
Filed under: uncultured bacterium
Lineage: Bacteria
Description: partial 16S ribosomal RNA
Rfam family: Bacterial small subunit ribosomal RNA
Source: RNAcentral